Molecule: RNA transcript, 779 nt
Organism: Haliotis rufescens (red abalone)
Lineage: Eukaryota; Metazoa; Mollusca; Gastropoda; Lepetellida; Haliotidae
Exons: 4
Source: RefSeq, a predicted model, not a curated record
UCGAACUCCGUAACGUAGUUACCGUUGCCGUUAUCGACGUCCCUUCUGUUUUCAACAGAAAAACGAUCGCUUUUGCUCCGCUGACCUCUACGUUUUGCUCACUGCUGUAUCAUUCCAAGUGUUUCUUCUUCCAAGAUGAAUACAAGGCUUCACAUUCAAGCUCGGGAGGACAUAAUUCGCUAUUAUGGCACUCCUGCGGCUGUGAGUUUGUGGCCGUCUCAGGAUGAGGAGUCCGACUGUAAAAACGAUCGCUUUUGCUCCGCUGACCUCUACGUUUUGCUAACUGCUGUAUCAUUCCAAGUGUUUCUUCUUCCAAGAUGAAUACAAGGCUUCACAUUCAAGCUCGGGAGGACAUAAUUCGCUAUUAUGGCACUCCUGCGGCUGUGAGUUUGUGGCCGUCUCAGGAUGAGGAGUCCGACUGUGUAUGUAUAAUUUUACAUGCCCACCCUGUAAAUUCUUCCGUCUAGUAUAGCUGAUUUGUUGCACAUUAAGUCUGCCCAGUCCCUUUAAUAAACUGUGAUUCGUUUUCUUUGCAAAAGUAUCCCGUAUUUCUGUCUUACCUGACUUCCUUUGUCCCUCCCUCCACCCCCUCGAUGUGUAGCGUUCCCUGGCCGUGUCCCCUUCCCGUUGUCCCGACCCCCUGAGCGUCUUCACUCCGUUCUGGGCCCGCCCUGUCUACGGUGAGACGCUCCCCGCCCCCGUCACCAUCAACCACGCUGAUUACUAUCCUGCCCCAAGUGACGAUGAUGACAGUGACUACUGGGUGUACGAGGACGAGG